RNAcentral lists this ribosomal RNA (507 nucleotides) under uncultured bacterium. RNAcentral's name for it is "partial 16S ribosomal RNA". The record is from RNAcentral.
GGAGUUAGCCGGUGCUUCUUCUGUGAGUGAUGUCCUUCCUGCCGGCUAUUAACCCGCAGGCCUUCUUCCUCACUGAAAGUGCUUUACAACCCGAAGGCCUUCUUCACACACGCGGCAUGGCUGGAUCAGGGUUGCCCCCAUUGUCCAAUAUUCCACACUGCUGCCUCCCGUAGGAGUCUGGGCCGUGUCUCAGUCCCAGUGUGGCUGAUCAUCCUCUCAGACCAGCUACGGAUCGUCGCCUUGGUGAGCCGUUACCUCACCAACCAGCUAAUCCGACAUAGGCUCAUCCGAUAGCGCGAGGCCCGAAGGUCCCCCGCUUUCCCCCGUAGGGCGUAUGCGGUAUUAGCCUGGGUUUCCCCAGGUUAUCCCCCACUACCGGGCAGAUUCCUAUGCAUUACUCACCCGUCCGCCGCUCGCCACCAGGGAGCAAGCUCCCCGUGCUGCCGCUCGACUUGCAUGUGUUAGGCCUGCCGCCAGCGUUCAAUCUGAGCCAGAAUCGAACCCUGA